GCUUCUAUAGCUCAGGAGGUAGAGCGCGUCCUUGGUAAGGACGAGGUCAGCAGUUCGAGUCUGCUUAGAAGCUCCA
Molecule: transfer RNA, 76 nt
Filed under: Clostridiales bacterium
Lineage: Bacteria; Bacillati; Bacillota; Clostridia; Eubacteriales
Description: tRNA-Thr
Rfam family: tRNA
About the family: Transfer RNA (tRNA) molecules are approximately 80 nucleotides in length. Their secondary structure includes four short double-helical elements and three loops (D, anti-codon, and T loops).
Source: RNAcentral